CUCACACAGUCACAGCACAGACAUGGCGGCUCCCACACAGCCUCUGGUGUUGCUGCUCUGGAUUAUAGGUGCCAGAUGUGACAUCCAGAUGACCCAGUCUUCAGCUACCCUGUCUGUGUCCCUGGGAGAAAGUGUCACUAUGACAUGCCAGGAAAGUCAGAACAUUGGCAAUGCUUUAGCAUGGUAUCAGCAGAAACCAGGAGAACAUCCUCAUCUCCUGAUCUAUCAUGCAAACAGCUUGGAAGAUGGGGUCCCAUCUAGGUUCAGUGGGAGUAGAUCUGGCACACAGUUUUCUCUCAAGAUAAGUAGUGUGCAGUCUGAAGAUAUUGGAACCUAUUACUGUCAACAGUAUAGUAAUCUUCCUUCCACAGUGAUACAAGUCAUAGCAUAAACCCUGAAGGAAGCAGAACUAUGUGGCCUGGCUGCCCCAGAUGUUCCUCCUGGUGAGUCACUCGCUGAAACUGUUCCUCAGAGGUUACAGCCUUUUUAACAUAGCUCACAAUGAUUCUUUUCUGUUGUAGUUGUUGUUGGUAGAAGAGGCUAACCAGUCCUCUCUGUAGUCUAUUAUUCUUCCACUUGAUCUCCAGCAAUACAGAGUACAGAUGUCUUUUCUUAACAGAGGACACAGUUAUUCCCUAUGAGGACUAUGAAUUGUGUCUCCACUUGGGACUCACACAGAAGAGUGAAAGGUUCUGUGGAUAUUCCAGCAUAUGUUCUUUAUAUACAGAAAAUUAACUCUACAUUCCAGUAUUGAAAAAUCAGGAGAUUAUUAUUGAGAGAAGCUGACAGCAGAAAGCAUUCCUGGGUUUCUAGCAAAAGCUACAACACAAGUGUCAGAGAGAGGGAAGCCUACUUAGCCAUAAUCCUCUGUUGUGUCUUGAAAUUCCAGCAGUGGGUGUUGACGCUCUCAUGUGUCUGCAGCACUUCAAAUAGGAUUCUAUUGGCUCUUAUGUCCAUCACUCUGCUUAUAAGAACCGAACAAUAUUGAACCACACUCAUAUGACUUUUAUUCUCACUGUAUGAAGUGGAACAUAGACUUUUCUACAUGAAAUCAGGGAAAGUAAACGAUUGUCUUAAAUAUGUUUCCAGAAGUGGUAUUGAUGAAAAAUUGAUA
This is a non-coding RNA of Peromyscus leucopus (white-footed mouse), 1114 nucleotides long. NCBI's taxonomy places the organism in Eukaryota, Metazoa, Chordata, Mammalia, Rodentia, Cricetidae. The record is from the annotation of a RefSeq genome assembly.